CGGGGAAUUUUGGACAAUGGGCGCAAGCCUGAUCCAGCCAUGCCGCGUGAGUGAAGAAGGCCUUCGGGUUGUAAAGCUCUUUCAGUAGGAACGAAACGAUAGGCUCUAACAUAGCCUGUUACUUACGGUACCUACAGAAGAAGCACCGGCUAACUACGUGCCAGCAGCCGCGGUAAUACGUAGGGUGCGAGCGUUAAUCGGAAUUACUGGGCGUAAAGCGUGCGCAGGCGGUUUCUUAAGCCAGAUGUGAAAGCCCCGGGCUUAACCUGGGAAUUGCGUUUGGAACUGGGAGACUAGAGUGUGGCAGAGGGAGGUAGAAUUCCACGUGUAGCAGUGAAAUGCGUAGAGAUGUGGAGGAAUACCGAUGGCGAAGGCAGCCUCCUGGGCCAACGCUGACGCUCAUGCACGAAAGCGUGGGGAGCAAACAG
This 428-nucleotide ribosomal RNA is filed under the name uncultured bacterium. RNAcentral describes it as "bacterial SSU rRNA". It matches the Rfam family "Bacterial small subunit ribosomal RNA", at positions 355 to 775 of the family's 1533-position model. The record is from RNAcentral.